RNAcentral lists this ribosomal RNA (253 nucleotides) under uncultured bacterium. RNAcentral describes it as "partial 16S ribosomal RNA". It matches the Rfam family "Bacterial small subunit ribosomal RNA", at positions 524 to 776 of the family's 1533-position model. The record is from RNAcentral.
GACGUAGGGGGCUAGCGUUGUUCGGAAUUAUUGGGCGUAAAGAGCUCGUAGGCGGCUUGUCGCGUCGUCCGUGAAAACCUGCAGCUCAACUGCAGGCUUGCGGUCGAUACGGGCAGGCUGGAGUUCGGUAGGGGAGACUGGAAUUCCUGGUGUAGCGGUGAAAUGCGUAGAUAUAGGAAGGAAUACCAGUGGCGAAGGCGGCCUCCUGGAUCAACACUGACGCUGAGGUGCGAAAGCGUGGGGAGCAAACAGG